GGUUGUAUUUAUCAAUUAUUAACUUCAAAAAUUCAAAAAAAAAUUUGAAAAUCGAAAAAAAUAUUAUGUACCGGUACCGGACCGGUACGCCUAGGCAUACCAUGUGUCGGUACGGUACGGUAUCGAUACCAUACCGUACCGAUCCGACACCGGCAUGCCGUCCGGUACCAGUACAGCAAACCUUGUUAGAUAAUACUGUUACUUUUAUGAAGGAAAACAAAUGACAUUGAAAGGUAUUACAGAAGGAUCCAAAUUAAAGACUACUAAGAUCAAACUUCAAAUGAUCACUGCUAUACAGUGGUACAGGUCUGGACUUAAGGGAGACUGUUGUGCAGUUGGGCAACUGAAGAAUUUUGAUGGAAAAAGAACAGAGGUAGAGAUAUCUGAUUAAGUCAAUACAAUAUUAAAACAGUACACUGAUGUGUUCCAAGAGCCUAAAGGAUUGCCACCUAUUAGACCAUAAGAUCACAGAAUACCAUUGUUACCGGGCACUAAUCUAGUUAAUAUCAGACUAUACAGAUAUACAUAUAAACAGAAAAAUGAGAUUGAAAGACAAAUACAGGAGAUGCUUAAAACUACCAUUAUUCAGUCUAGCACCAGUCCUUACACUUCACCUAUAUUAUUGGUAAAAAAAAGAUAACAGUUGGAGAUUUUGUGUGGACUAUAGGCAGCUCAAUAAAGCAACAGUGAAAAAUAAAUAUCCUAUAUCCUUAAUUGAUGAUCUUUUAGAUGAACUUGAAGGUUCUCAGUAUUUCUCUAAAAUAGAUUUGAGAUCAGGUUACUAUCAAAUCAGAAUGAACCCAGAAGAUGUAUAUAAGAUAGCUUUUAGAAUUCACAUGGAUCAUUAUGAAUUCUUAGUGAUGCCCUUCGGAUUAACUAAUGCACCAACCACAUUUCAAGCUACCAUGAAUGAGGUGUUCUCUUUUUAUCUCAGAAAGUUUGUGCUAGUAUUUUUUGAUGAUAUUUUGGUAUACAGCAAAACCUUAGAGGAGCAUGUGGAACAUCUCACUGAAGUAUUGACUAUAUUAAGAAGAAAUCAGUUGUAUGCAAAAAGAUCUAAAUAUUUCUUUGGAUAGCAACAAGUGGAAUAUCUGGGGCAUAUAAUUUCUAAAGAAGGUGUGGCAACUGAUCUUGAGAAGGUGAUAGCCAUGCAAAAGUGGCCUAAACCAACUACAUUGAAGGAGUUGAGGGGAUUUUUGGGGCUCAUAGGAUACUAUAGAAGGUUUAUAAAAGGCUAUGGAUCAAUUAGCAAACCUCUAACAGAGCUACUUAAAAAAAAGAUAAUUUUUAUUGGGAUGAAACCACACAAAAAGCAUUUGAGAAGUUAAAAGAAGUAAUGUCUACAGCACCAGUCUUAGCUAUACUGAAUUAUUCCUUACCCUUCACUUUGGAAGUAGAUGCCAGUGGAUAUAGAAUUGGAGUAGUCCUCACACAACAAGGAAGACCUGUAGCUUACCUCAGUAAAGGUUUAAAUGAAAGGAAUCAAGCACUUUCUAUUUAUGAAAAAGAAUUCCUAGCUAUUUUGAUGGCUGUAGAAAAAUGGAAGCACUAUAUUAGUGCCCAACCCUUCAUCAUUAAAACAGAUCACCAAAGUUUAAAAUACUUAUUAGAAUAAAAAGUAACUACUGCAGCAUAGCAAAAAGGUAUGAUGAAACUUAUGGGGUUGGAUUAUGUGAUACAUUAUAAGAAGGGGAAAGAAAAUUUGGCUACAAAUGCAUUAUCCAGAUGGAGAAUUGAAGAAGAAAAGGUGCAAGCCAUUACAGCAGUGGUACUUACAUGAAGUGUGGAAAUAGCUAACAGUUAUGAAGGAGACCAACAGACUCAACAACUUAUAGCAGAAGUACUCAUAGAGCCAGAAUCACAUACUGAAUGCACUUAUAAACAAGGAGUGCUUAAGUUUAAAGAGAGAAUUUACAUUGGAAAAAUAGGAGAGUUGAGACAAAAGCUCCUAGAACUUAUGCAUGCUUCAGCUUUAGGAGGGCACUCAGGAAUGAACCAUACUUAUAAGAGAAUUAAGCAAUUAUUUUAUUGGUCAGGAAUGAAACAACAAGGGGAGAAACUAGUGAAAGAAUGUGAAAUUUGUAUUAAAAACAAAAUUGAGGGAACUCCAUAUGCAAGUCUACUACAACCUCUGCAAAUUCCAACACAAGCCUGGCAAGAAAUCAGUAUGGAUUUCAUUGAGUCAUUACCAAAAUCAGAAGGUAAAGACAUUAUAUUAGUAGUGGUGGAUCGGUUAACUAAAUAUUCAUAUUUUAUUCCCUUGACUCAUCCCUAUACAGCACAGAAUGUAGCAAGAUCAUUCUUGGAUACAAUAUACAAGUUACAUGGGAUGCCACAAAGUAUUAUAUCAGACAGAGAUAAGAUCUUCACUAGUCAGGUAUGGCAAGAUCUAUUCAAAAUAAUGGGGGUCAAAUUACAUCUGAGUACUGCUUAUCACCCACAGACAGAUGGACAAACAGAGAGAGUAAACCAAUGCUUAGAAACAUAUUUAAGAUGCUUAUGUUUUCACAGUCCGCACAGAUGGCUUAAGUGGCUAUCCCUGACUGAGUGGUGGUAUAAUAUCAACUAUCACUCCUCCCUAGGAAUGACACCUUACCAAGCCCUGUAUGGAUAUCCACCUCACAUGUACCCAAUAGUCAACAUGGACAUGCAACCGCAAGGUACAGUGGCAGAUUGGAACAGAGAAAGAACAAAGAUGAUACAGAUCUUAAGAGACAGACUUAAGGAAGCACAAAACUGCAUGAAACAAAAUGCAGAUAAGAGAAGAAUAGAUAAAAAAUAUCAAGUAGGAAAAUUGGUAUAUCUUAAACUCCAACCCUACCGACAGACUACAGUAGCCAUGCGCAGAAAUUCAAAACUUCACAGUAUUAUGGACCAUUCAAGAUACUAAAAAAAAUUAGACCUGUGGCUUAUGAGCUUAAUCUGCCCGAGGGAUCUAAAAUACAUCUCGUAUUUUAUGUAUCUUUAUUAAAAAGAGAGAUUCAGAAACUCGAGCAAGCAACACCAACAGUACCCCUCACAGGAGAAGAAGGACAACUGUUAAUCCAAUCAGAAAAAAUUUUAGACAAAAAAAUGGUCCGCAAGGGGAACAGAGCAGUUACCAAAGUGCUAAUCAAAUGGAGUAACUUCGGUGAAGAAGCUACAUGGGAAGAUUACUGAUCACUCAAGAACUAGUUUUUUCAUUUUGAUCCUUGAGGACAAGGAUCUUCAGAAGAAGAGGGGAAUAUAACAUCUGUAAAAAAAGAAAAAAGAUUAGCAAAAAAAAAAAUGAAUGAAUGGGUUAGAAAUACUCCUUAUCAGGAUGGUUGGAAGAGAAGCCGGAGAACCAGAAAAGAGCGAUCUGUAUUUGGGAAACCCCGAUCCACGCCCGUCUCACCCUUCUUCUUCUCGGGAGCGCUAGGAUUUCAGAAGAGAGAAGAGUCGGCUAGGGUUUCUGAGAGGAAGACAGAAAGAAACAGGUGAAACGACAGGAUCCAGAAGGUUCGGAACCCUUUUAUUCAUUCGGGUUCAGGUAUUGGAUCUAGCCAACAAACCCAACAACCUGCUCCGACAAGCCUCAGAAAUAUCUCCUUGAAUUUUAUUUUACAUUUCAUUUAGGAGCAUUUGCAUUUCAUUUCGCAUCGGAAUUUCAUUCCUAAAAAAUGUCAUCUGCAUUUGAUUAGAAUUUCAUUUUCAUUCGAAAAGCAUUUCAUUUACAUUACCUGUAACUUCAUAUAAAAAGGGCUGUAACAAAAAUUCAAAAUAGGAAAUGUAAUGAAAGUAUUCAGACUCCCUCCAUAGGAGAUUUCUCCUUAUCCUUCUCCUUCUCCUUCUCCGAUCUGAAACCCUCUUCAGAUCUGAACUCCCUCUCUAAUUUGAACACUCUCCUCUUUGUAAUUCACCUCUUCAUCUCCAUCCAGCUCCAGAAUUCACAUAAACACCACACCGAAUUCCUCUCGGGAAGUCGGGAUGUUAUAGAUGAUAUAAGAAGUUAGCAGGAAAAGCUUAUCACUGUUACAAGAUAUUUUGUCCUCUUCUCUCCUCCUUGGGCAUGCACGUACAAGCACAUGUGCCUUUUUUUUCUUUUCAUUUUGUGAAAAGUCCUUCCCAAUGUAUAUGGUCUGAAUGUUCACCAGAAAAGCAGUUUUAAUUGUUAUAACAGACCUUCUUUUGGAAAGAAAAAGAGUUCUAACAUGCCACAGCAUUAGGGAUUUUGGAAUUGCUUAUUAGAACUUUUCUAGUCUCGUCAUCUUCUGAAGAAAUUGGGGACUUCUUUUUUGUCAAAUUUUAAUUUGCUCCUGCUCUCUAAUUGCAUUACUUAUCUGUUGUAAGGAAUUAAAGGAUAAUUUAUGAACAUUAUGUUACAAGACCUCACAAGCUUUGUAUGUCUCCCUGCUUCAUCUGGAAUUUGCACAUACUCAAAAUCUUUGUUCUAAAAGUACAUUUCUAAGACAAAUCUUCUAGGAAACUUAUGCAUAAUUGGUUGAAUGAUUAUAAAUUACUGAUCUUGGCAGUCUUCAUAUUAAGAAGGAAAAUAUGGUUUAAAAAUGCCUCAUACAGAUGUGGAACUAAGAAACAUGGUUUGAAGUUCCCACUAAAACUCUGAAACUGAGCUAAACUUUUUUGGGUUUGCCUAGAAAGCAAGCCAAUGAUGUUGGAGAGAACUACCUGAAAUUGUUUUGCAGGACUAAAUUUACUGUAUUGGGUAAUUUAUGCAUUUAAGUAAACUUUUGAGGCAUGUUUUCCAAAAUUAAACUUGCAUUAUGCAAGUUUGAAGAAGAUUUCUAGCAUGGGUGUCGUUAUCAUACAAUAACCAUAACCAUUGAUCAUUGUCCCAUCUAUUUGGUGUUUGCUUAUGAACCCUCAAUUACUAGUUAUUCUUACCUGGCACCAAUUUGAUUGUUAUUGCGUUGCAAGGUUUACCAUAUUGUUCUUCAUUCCUUGCUUCUAUGACACAAAGUUAAUUACCAUAUUGUUCUAUGUGACUUUGUUCUCAAUUGAUGCAACUUUUAAAACCCAUCUGUUGUACUCAUGCCUUGCUCUAUCCUCUCUGGUUUUACCACAUAUCCAUCCUCGUACUCUCCCUUUCCAUGACAUUCAUCAUGUUUUAUUGGACCCUUUGUUGCCCUGCAUUGUGAACCAUACGGUGAUUUUUUUUCCUAUUUAAUAAAGUUUUCCUCUAACUUGGUUAAGAUACGCAAGAAAAUGGGUCCAUGGACUCGCCACUAAACAUGACCAUGAUAACCUCUGAAGGAGAGUUGGCUGAGUGUAUGGCUUGGGAGGCAAUGGAAAUUGGCAGAGCAUGUGACACUGGAUCCAACCUCUGGAUGUGAAUUUAUUUUUCAUGUCUUUCAAGCCGGAAUGACAAUAUAACAUGGAAAGUGAGGAGUGCUCGUGCAACCAUCUUUGAUCAAAGAUGGUUUUGCUGAAGGGAAGGAUCUGGUGGUGACUGUCAUGUCUGCCAUGGGGGAGGAGCAGAUCUGUUCUCUAAAGGACAUUGGGCCCAAAUAAGAUACGUUAAUUAUGUUUCUCAGAACAAUGUCAGUUUGGUGACAAUGUAAACAAAAACCGUUAAGUAAUGGGACUUUGGCUAAGAUUUUGCGGGUUUGUGCAAGUAAAAGAAGUGUUGAUUCUCCCGAGGGGAGCCUGGAGCCCUUGGUUCCUCGUGGGCUUGAUAUAGGCAUGACAAAUUGUGGUGCAAGGUAUCCCUAUAUUCUUUAUGUUAAAAACUGUUUUUUUUUUUUUCUAAAAUAGAACAAUCAAACAUAAAUAUGUGUUACAUGGAUAUCUAUUUUAAGUAUCUGCUCUGAAAGGUAAA
Elaeis guineensis (African oil palm) is the source of this 5797-nucleotide non-coding RNA. NCBI's taxonomy places the organism in Eukaryota, Viridiplantae, Streptophyta, Magnoliopsida, Arecales, Arecaceae. The record is from RefSeq and is a predicted model, not a curated record.